AAGACCCUGUUGAGCUUGACUCUAGUCCGACGUUGUGAAAUGACUUAUGAGGUGUAGCGUAGGCAGGAGCUUCGGCGAACAUGAAACACUGCCACUCGUAAUGUUGUUUUACUUAUCUUGUCGCGUAGCGUCCAUCCGUCCUCGCGGGCGCGUGGUUCUAGCGUUAACUGUGCCAUUGUCCCAUUAGCUACGCAAGAGACAACGUCAGGUUGGGAGUUUGGCUGGGGCGGCACAU
Molecule: ribosomal RNA, 235 nt
Filed under: Akashiwo sanguinea
Lineage: Eukaryota; Dinophyceae; Gymnodiniales; Gymnodiniaceae
Description: partial Eukaryotic large subunit ribosomal RNA
Rfam family: Eukaryotic large subunit ribosomal RNA
Source: RNAcentral